Molecule: ribosomal RNA, 254 nt
Filed under: uncultured bacterium
Lineage: Bacteria
Description: partial 16S ribosomal RNA
Rfam family: Bacterial small subunit ribosomal RNA
Source: RNAcentral
UACGUAGGGGGCAAGCGUUGUCCGGAUUUAUUGGGCGUAAAGAGCUCGUAGGUGGUUCGGUAAGUCGGAUGUGAAAUCUCCAGGCUCAACCUGGAGGGGUCAUUCGAUACUGCCGUGACUAGAGGUCGGUAGGGGAGUGUGGAAUUCCUGGUGUAGCGGUGAAAUGCGUAGAUAUCAGGAGGAACACCGGUGGUGUAGACGGCUUUCUGGACCGUAACUGACGCUGAGACACGAAAGCGUGGGUAGCAAACAGG